This is a long non-coding RNA of Cyprinus carpio carpio, 3615 nucleotides long. NCBI's taxonomy places the organism in Eukaryota, Metazoa, Chordata, Actinopteri, Cypriniformes, Cyprinidae. The record is from Ensembl.
CAGGAAAGUUAUAUCCCUGUGCCUUCUUUUCUCACAAAUUAACGGCAGCAGAACGGAACUAUGACGUGGGCAAUCGUGAACUUCUGGCCAUGAAAUUAGCACUAGAGGAAUGCCGCCACUGGCUGGAGGGAGGAUCACACCCAUUUAUAAUUCUCACCGACCACAAGAUUCUCAAAUAUCUCCUCUCGGCCAAACGACUAAACCCCAGACAAGCAAGGUGGGUGUUAUUCUUCACAAGAUUUCAGUUCACUGUAACGUAUAGACCUGGUUCAAAAAAUACCAAUACCCGCCACCUCCUGAAUGUCCCGCAAAUCUCACCUAUGUUCCAGAAUCCCUACAAAAACGCCUAUUAACCCAGGUACAUGUUCCACCCAGUUCAGGACACCCCGGAAUCACUGCCACAGCGCAUCUGCUCAAGAACCAAUUCUGGUGGCCCACUCUGUUAAUUGAUACCACCAAAUUUGUCCAGAACUGCACCAUCUGCAACACGUCUAAAACCCCCAGACAACUACCAGCUGGACUGUUACAACCACUGCCCACACCACAACGCCCAUGGUCUCACAUCGCCAUUGAUUUCAUCACUGACCUUCCCAACUCACAAGGUAAUACUACUAUACUCACUAUUAUAGAUCGAUUUUCCAAAGCCUGCCGUCUAAUUCCCCUGCUGAAACUUCCCACCUCCUUUGAAACAGCUGAACUAAUGUGCAAUUAUGUAUUUCAUUUCUACAGUUUACCUGAGGACAUUGUCUCGGACCGGGGUCCUCAGUUCACCUCAAGAGUAUGGAUUGCCUUCAAACAUCUGAACGUGAACAUCAGCCUCACAUCUUGCCACCAUCCUCAGUCCAACGGACAGACUGAACGCCUGAAUCAGGAAAUUAUUCAUACUUAUUUUGGGCGAAGUAUGCACAGAAUUCUCUCAUGAAACCAGCCACGGGGGAGACCCCCUUUAAAUGCGUGCUGGGUUUCCAACCACCCUUGUUCCCCUGGGCUGGCGAGCCCACCGACCUCCCGUCAGUCACAGAUUGGUUGCAACGCAGUGAGGAGGUCUGGGACCGAGCUCAUACCCAAUUACUACAUGAUGUAAGAAGACAGGAACAGCAGGCUAGCCGACACCGACGCCUCAGCCCCGCAUACAUCCCAGGACAGUGGGUCUGGCUCUCCACUAAAGAUCUACGCCUCAGACUGCCAUGCAAAAAACUCAGUCCCAGUCCGGGAGGAGAGCCGGAGGAGGGAGCCAGACUGCAGAAUCCCCCGCCUAUUCUGGUGGACGGCGAGGAGGCGUAUCGAGUGCACAAGUUGCUUGACUCCAGGCGCCGGGGAGGCACUCUCCAGUAUCUGGCCGAUUGGGAGGGGUACGUACCAGAGGAGCGUUCUUGGGUCAAAGCUGGAGAUAUCCUCAACCCAACACUUACAGAGGAGUUUCAUCGGACGCAUCGGAAACCGGCCCCUCGACCUCGUGGACUACUCAAUUUAAGUUGGUAGAAAUUAAAGUUUGAAAUUAUAAGCAUAUUUUACUUGGAAUUGUUUAUGUUUACAAGGAUUCUUUAAGUAAAUAUCAAAGUUAUGAUCCUGUUUUUCCCAUCAUGCACUGGGUCAUGAAUAAUUAAAAGGUUAAAAUUUUCACUGUUUUCGAGUUGUAUUUAGACUGUUUUAUGGUUGAUUUUGUCGUUAGGUUUAGUAUCUUACUGUUUUGUGAUAUCUGGAGUUAAUUUUCUACUCAAAAUGACCCAUUUAUACUCGAACACUACCCACUGAUUGUUACCGUCAUUGUGUAUGGUGUACCAAGUUUUGAGGUCUCUGUGUUCAUUUGGGUAAUAAUUAUAUUGAGUGGACAAAUUAUCUUUGAAGGAUAACAAGUUGUCUACUUGCUUACUUACAUGUUUGCAAGUGAACCACAUGCUUUAAUAGCAUGGUUGUUUUCUAGUGUUACCUUGUUAGAGUAAAUUUUAUAAAUUGUAAUGUCUAAAUAAAUGUACUUGAGUAUUGCAUUUAACUAUAUAAACAAGUAGAAUUUACGUAAUUCCUUUGCUAAAUUUACCUACCAUAGUUAUGUAGAGUUUACUUAAUUCAGUACUUAAAUUUUACUUUAAAUUUAUGUGUGCAAAUUAAAGGGUACAUAACAUACACAGUUUCACCUGAUCUCAUGUUAAUCUUGAGUACCUACAGAGUAGUACUGCAUCCUUCAUAUCUCCAUAAAGUCUUUAGUUUUAUCAUAUUUAUAAAAGAAAAAUACAGCUUUCUGAUUCUCUCUGGAAAAAGCCGAGCCCCUGGAAGCGUGCCGUGGGCGGAGCUAUAAUACUGAUUCUUCCUGUUGUUUCCAUUAACAUAUAUUCACUUAUGUGCGGAUUUCCAACAAAAGACAGAAAUCCGAUGCAGUUGUACUUACAUGAAUGGGGUCUUUUAUCACUGGGACCGCUACAUGUUUUAAUAGCAAACGAUGUGCAAAUCCAGCAUCGACCUAGGCCUUGUUUCUAAAACAUUUGUCACUGAAAUGACGAGAACACACAAACGCUCUUGCUACACUCCGUUGCUACCCCGGAAAAACACACUGCAUCCACUGUUCGUGUAACACUGGGUUCUUUGGUAGGCUGAACACUGUAAACUUUCCCUCACAUCCAAAAACACACUUAUUUGGACACAUUCUUGAACAAAUCGUAUGCAGCACCGCUGAGGAUUUCCUGGUGAAGCACGUUGAUGAGCGCGGUCUCACUCUCCCCUGGUCGACGUGUGCAUGGGAGUGCUUUUCCGAGAGAAAUGCUCAUAUAAGGAGUUCCACCAUUGUCUACGUCAUUAAAUCCACAAGCGAAAAAAAAAAACAGCCGAAAGUUGUACCAACCCGGAAGUAAGAUUUUCGGCACAGGAAUUUUCCGUCAUUCGUCCAAAUUAUUUUUUAAAACUUUGGCCAUGUUUAGCAUGUGAAUCCAUCUCUUUAACACUGUGAACAACUGAAUACAUGAAACACCAUUGUAGCCCCCCUUUAAGUAAAUUUACUUAUAGUUUUUUUUUUUCAUUGUGGGUAAUUAUAAAGUUAACUCUACUCUUCCUCCAGUUCACUGGAGACUUACUUUAAUGUCUUUUGGGAGGAGAGAAUCAAUUUACGUGUUGUUAAUCCCACAACUCAGAUUCAGCGUGAACUAACAUGGUGGCUCACAUGUUUGAGAAUUGGAAUGUGAAUAUUUUGAAUAAAAAAGGAAAAAUAAAAUUAAAGCGAUACAUGUGCCAUACAGCUAUUGUGGCUGCUGUGUGUCACAUGACAAGCAUGACAUGUCACCAUGGAAACAAUAAGGCGAUACAUUCUAAUAUAACGGUCGCCUAAAAAAACCCUUAUGCUGAGGGCUCAGCUAGAAUAUUUUAAACUCAUGUGUGAAAGGGUUAAUGACCACAGAGAGUAGGACCUCUUUUUUUAACAUCUCAUCCAAAGGAAGGUGCUUUUUGAAAAUAGUGUCCCCAUCACUAUACUGGGGCAUUAGGACCCACACAGACCACAGGGUGAGCACCCCCUUCUGGCCUGACGAACACCUCUUCCAGCAGUAACCUGUUUUUCCAGGAGGUCUCCCAUCCAGGUACUGACAAGGCUCAACCCUGGUUAGUUUCAUUGGGCAACCAGUCUUGGGC